Molecule: ribosomal RNA, 467 nt
Filed under: uncultured bacterium
Lineage: Bacteria
Description: bacterial SSU rRNA
Rfam family: Bacterial small subunit ribosomal RNA
Source: RNAcentral
GACGAACGCUGGCGGCGUGCUUAACACAUGCAAGUCGAACGGUGAACCAGAGCUUGCUCUGGGGGAUCAGUGGCGAACGGGUGAGUAACACGUGGGCAACCUGCCCCAGACUCUGGGAUAACCUCGGGAAACCGAUGCUAAUACCGGAUACGACCACUUCGGACAUCCGACGGUGGUGGAAAGUUUUUCGGUCUGGGAUGGGCCCGCGGCCUAUCAGCUAGUUGGUGGGGUAAUGGCCUACCAAGGCGACGACGGGUAGCCGGCCUGAGAGGGCGACCGGCCACACUGGAACUGAGACACGGUCCAGACUCCUACGGGAGGCAGCAGUGGGGAAUAUUGCACAAUGGGCGAAAGCCUGAUGCAGCGACGCCGCGUGAGGGACGACGGCCUUCGGGUUGUAAACCUCUUUCAGCAGGGACGAAGCGAAAGUGACUGUACCUGCAGAAGAAGCACCGGCUAACUACGUG